AUCGCUUUCUCGGGCUUUUGGCUAAGAUCAAAUGCAGCGUGUGUUCUGGUCAGUUAAAAUACCUGGUAAGUCCUCUACCUGAGGACAGUACGUUAAGUGGAUUUGGGGAGCAGGGAGAUGGAAUAGGAGCUCUCUCCGUCCACACACCGAGCUGGUAUCGCAGUAUCUCCAGGAAUGGUGAACCCAAA
This is a small nuclear RNA of Panthera leo (lion), 188 nucleotides long. Its record names the gene U2. It matches the Rfam family "U2 spliceosomal RNA". Rfam says of the family: U2 is a small nuclear RNA (snRNA) component of the spliceosome (involved in pre-mRNA splicing). Complementary binding between U2 snRNA (in an area lying towards the 5' end but 3' to hairpin I) and the branchpoint sequence (BPS) of the intron results the bulging out of an unpaired adenosine, on the BPS, which initiates a nucleophilic attack at the intronic 5' splice site, thus starting the first of two transesterification reactions that mediate splicing. The record is from Ensembl. Lineage: Eukaryota; Metazoa; Chordata; Mammalia; Carnivora; Felidae.